RNAcentral lists this long non-coding RNA (320 nucleotides) under Gossypium barbadense (sea-island cotton). Its description in RNAcentral is "long non-coding RNA (GBAR_LNC011738)". The record is from RNAcentral. Lineage: Eukaryota; Viridiplantae; Streptophyta; Magnoliopsida; Malvales; Malvaceae.
AGAAGUGUGACUCUUGGUGGGUCAAGGAUGGUCCCGUCAGCAUUAAGGAUGUGGUGCAUGCGAAGUCGUUCUCUAUUGGACAAGUGAUUUCUUCACAAUAAUGAUGGUGAAGGGGACUGGUACUUCAGAUCUGGACGAUUGGUAAUAGUGUGACCGAGAGCCAAGGUUGGUGUUUCGUUGGAUGUGUUGCUCGGUCUGGGUGAAUCGUCGUUGGAGACGUGGACUUUUAUCUCGUCAGUUGCCAAGUGCGACGACAGGGUUUAUCUUACUCUAGAGCUGGGCAUUUCAAAGGUUUCAUUGAUUUACGAGGAAGGGGCUUA